Molecule: long non-coding RNA, 260 nt
Organism: Passer domesticus (house sparrow)
Lineage: Eukaryota; Metazoa; Chordata; Aves; Passeriformes; Passeridae
Exons: 3
Source: RefSeq, a predicted model, not a curated record
CGUCACUUUACAUUCAGAUAUACUAGUGUAAAGUAAUGAAGUCCCAUGUGGUAAAAGCUUGUCAGAUUGCUGCACAAAGUAUGGACUGAAUUUUAGUUCUGAUGCCAGAAAAAUGCACCUCUGCUACAGAUAUAUUCAUUCACAGUGGUGAAUGAAUAUAUCUGUACCUGCCACUGCUCAAAGUCUCCAGCUCUUUCAGACAGGGAAGUUGAAAGUGUUGCAUGACUAUAACACCAAGAUAAGAGAGAGUGGAGAAUCAC